Molecule: ribosomal RNA, 277 nt
Filed under: uncultured bacterium
Lineage: Bacteria
Description: partial 16S ribosomal RNA
Rfam family: Bacterial small subunit ribosomal RNA
Source: RNAcentral
UUGGGGAUGGACUCGCGGCUUAUCAGCUUGUUGGUGGGGUAGUGGCUUACCAAGGCUUUGACGGGUAGCCGGCCUGAGAGGGUGACCGGCCACAUUGGGACUGAGAUACGGCCCAGACUCCUACGGGAGGCAGCAGGUGGGGAAUAUUGCACAAUGGGCGGAAGCCUGAUGCAGCAACGCCGCGUGCGGGAUGACGGCCUUCGGGUUGUAAACCGCUUUCGCCUGUGACGAAGCGUGAGUGACGGUAAUGGGUAAAGAAGCACCGGCUAACUACGUG